UUUGUACGCGAAGAACCCUACCAGGUCCCGACAUCCUCCGACAAUCCUAGAGAUAGGACGUCCCCUUCGGGGGCAGAGUGACAGGUGGUCCAUGGCAGUCGUCAGCUCGUGUCGUGAGAUGUUGGGUUAAGUCCCGCAACGAGCGCAACCCUUGAUCUUAGUUGCCAGCAUUCAAUUGGGCACUCUAAGGUGACUGCCGGUGACAAACCGGAGGAAGGUGGGGAUGACGUCAAAUCAUCAUGCCCCUUAUGACCUGGGCUACACACGUCAUACAAUGGACAGAACAAAGGGCAGCGAAACCGCGAGGUUAAGCCAAUCCCACAAAUCUGUUCUCAGUUCGGAUUUUUCUCUGCAACUCGACUGCGUGAAGCUGGAAUCGCUAGUAAUCGCGGAUCAUCAUGCCGCGGUGAAUACGUUCCCGGGUCUUGUACACCAGCAA
Molecule: ribosomal RNA, 439 nt
Filed under: bacterium CPTAC67
Lineage: Bacteria
Description: bacterial SSU rRNA
Rfam family: Bacterial small subunit ribosomal RNA
Source: RNAcentral